CUCGCGCCGCCACCCUCCUGACCUCUCCUCUUCCACCCUUCUCCUCCAGCACCUUCUCCCUAUCGGCUCAAUCUCGCCAGCCCCCGCCAGUCAUCCUUCUCCUGCGUCGCCCGAAGGGGCGCAGCUGCCGCCGCUCGCAUUGCUGCUCCCCCUUCGAGCUCGCGCAUCUGAUCCGCCCAGAGGUGUCACCAUCGAUCGCAGGAGGGCUGUCGCAGCCAAACUCAAGGACAACCGUUGUCAUGGCCUAUGGAGUUGCAAGCGGAAGGUACUGUCUCAGGCCUUCCAGAUCUGAUUUUGAGCAUUUUUCUCCAUAUACAUUAGUACGAAUUUGCGAUCAAUCGAGUGGAGUCGUGGAGAGUAUGUUGGUUUGUUAGGUAUUGGAAUAUCGUUUGUGGGUGAAUGAAUCUUUUCCCGUGCAUAUUUUUUCUUUUGGAGAUGUUGCCUUUUCUUGACUCGGUUUGUUGUCAUGCGUGCCUCCAUGGCCAGGUUGGAGUGGCGAUGGCAGCCGCAGCGGGAUGGACGGUGCCUGCAACAAGCAGUUCCUCAUCUUGGCAUCUGACGAAAAUGGUCAUCUGGUGACGAACACCUCCUCCUUCUCUUCUCUGUAUGUGCUGCUCCCAUCACUCGAUUCGGUUUCCUCUGACCACCACAAGGGUUUACGUUGAGGGAUUUUGAAUGGGGUGCUCAAUAUUUCGCUGAAAAAAUAUUAUGUUUCAUCCUGGCACAAAAUGUUGGUGCAUAAUGCUAAAUUCUUCCUGGGAUACAUAGAUAGAUCAUACUGGAAGCUAUUUCAGAAUAGGGUAUCUUGCUGGGGAAACGUACUUUGUAGUGUGUGAUGUCUGCAUAUCAAUGUUAGUGUUACAUGCUCUGUAUAAAAGAGAUUUGGGUUGUUUAAAGUCCCAUUGAAAAGAAUGUUUAUUCAUUCUAGGUCUUAGAUACAAUAUGUUGUGUCGUACUAAAGUCUACCUGCAAAAUACAUGACCUAUAGAUGAUAUAGUUGUUUUGGUACAAAACUAAGAGUUGAAUUGUCCUAUGUUCGCUGAUCCGUUGGGCUUCAAAAUGAACAAGUGGAUCUAAUUGUUA
Molecule: long non-coding RNA, 1083 nt
Filed under: Triticum aestivum (bread wheat)
Lineage: Eukaryota; Viridiplantae; Streptophyta; Magnoliopsida; Poales; Poaceae
Description: long non-coding RNA (TAES_LNC011945)
Source: RNAcentral